This 496-nucleotide ribosomal RNA is filed under the name uncultured bacterium. RNAcentral's name for it is "partial 16S ribosomal RNA". It matches the Rfam family "Bacterial small subunit ribosomal RNA", at positions 29 to 507 of the family's 1533-position model. The record is from RNAcentral.
AUGAACGCUGGCGGCGUGCCUAAUACCUGCAAGUAGAACGCUGAAGGAAGGAGCUUGCUCUUUCCGGAUGAGUUGCGAACGGGUGAGUAACGCGUAGGUAACCUGCCUGGUAGCGGGGGAUAACUAUUGGAAACGAUAGCUAAUACCGCAUAACAGUAGAUGUUGCAUGAUAUCUACUUAAAAGGUGCAAUUGCACCACUACCAGAUGGACCUGCGUUGUAUUAGCUAGUUGGUGAGGUAACGGCUCACCAAGGCGACGAUACAUAGCCGACCUGAGAGGGUGAUCGGCCACACUGGGACUGAGACACGGCCCAGACUCCUACGGGAGGCAGCAGUAGGGAAUCUUCGGCAAUGGACGGAAGUCUGACCGAGCAACGCCGCGUGAGUGAAGAAGGUUUUCGGAUCGUAAAGCUCUGUUGUAAGAGAAGAACGAGUGUGAGAGUGGAAAGUUCACACUGUGACGGUAUCUUACCAGAAAGGGACGGCUAACUACGUG